GCUCCGUAGGUGAACCUGCGGAGGGAUCAUUACAGAGUUCAUGCCCUACCGGGUAGAUCUCCCACCCUAUGUUAUUAUUACUUUGUUGCUUUGGUGGGCCGUUAGGCUCCGGCCCGACUACCGGCCCCGGCUGGUAAGCGCCCGCCAGAGGACCCAAAACCCUGAAUAUUAGUGUCGUCUGAGUACUAUAUAAUAGUUAAAACUUUCAACAACGGAUCUCUUGGUUCUG
This 229-nucleotide unclassified non-coding RNA is filed under the name plant metagenome. RNAcentral describes it as "partial contains small subunit ribosomal RNA, internal transcribed spacer 1, and 5.8S ribosomal RNA". The record is from RNAcentral.